UGCGUAGGCGGAAGAUUAAGUCAGUAGUGAAAUCCUGCAGCUCAACUGUAGAACUGUUAUUGAUACUGAUCUUCUUGAAUACAGUUGAGGUAGGCGGAAUAUGUAAUGUAGCGGUGAAAUGCUUAGAUAUUACAUAGAACACCGAUUGCGAAGGCAGCUUACUAAACUGUGAUUGACGCUGAGGCACGAAAGCGUGGGGAGCGAACAGGAUUAGAUACCCUGGUAGUC
This 228-nucleotide ribosomal RNA is filed under the name uncultured bacterium. RNAcentral's name for it is "partial 16S ribosomal RNA". It matches the Rfam family "Bacterial small subunit ribosomal RNA", at positions 568 to 795 of the family's 1533-position model. The record is from RNAcentral.